Molecule: ribosomal RNA, 216 nt
Filed under: uncultured fungus
Lineage: Eukaryota; Fungi
Description: partial small subunit ribosomal RNA
Rfam family: Eukaryotic small subunit ribosomal RNA (bases 40-216)
Source: RNAcentral
GGGUCAGUAGGUUGGUCGUGCCACUGGUAUGCACUGGCCUUACUGAUUCCUCCUUCUUGAAGAACUGUGAUGUCAUUUACUUGGUGUUGCAGGGAAACAGGACUGUUACUUUGAAAAAAUUAGAGUGUUUAAAGCAGGCUCGCGCUAUGAAUACAUUAGCAUGGAAUAAUAAUUUAGGACUUUGCUCCUAUUUUAUUGGUUUCUAGGGGUGAAGUA